ACCACCGGGGAAAUGCCUUAGUACGGCGAGUGAAGCGGCAAAAGCUCAAAUUUGAAAUCUGGUACCUUCGGUGCCCGAGUUGUAAUUUGGAGAGGGCAACUUUGGGGCCGUUCCUUGUCUAUGUUCCUUGGAACAGGACGUCAUAGAGGGUGAGAAUCCCGUGUGGCGAGGAGUGCGGUUCUUUGUAAAGUGCCUUCGAAGAGUCGAGUUGUUUGGGAAUGCAGCUCUAAGUGGGUGGUAAAUUCCAUCUAAAGCUAAAUAUUGGCGAGAGACCGAUAGCGAACAAGUACAGUGAUGGAAAGAUGAAAAGAACUUUGAAAAGAGAGUGAAAAAGUACGUGAAAUUGUUGAAAGGGAAGGGCAUUUGAUCAGACAUGGUGUUUUGUGCCCUCUGCUCCUUGUGGGUAGGGGAAUCUCGCAUUUCACUGGGCCAGCAUCAGUUUUGGUGGCAGGAUAAAUCCAUAGGAAUGUAGCUUGCCUCGGUAAGUAUUAUAGCCUGUGGGAAUACUGCCAGCUGGGACUGAGGACUGCGACGUAAGUCAAGGAUGCUGGCAUAAUGGUUAUAUGCCGCCCGUCUUGAAACACGGACCA
Molecule: ribosomal RNA, 590 nt
Filed under: Saccharomyces cerevisiae (brewer's yeast)
Lineage: Eukaryota; Fungi; Ascomycota; Saccharomycetes; Saccharomycetales; Saccharomycetaceae
Description: eukaryotic LSU rRNA
Rfam family: Eukaryotic large subunit ribosomal RNA
Source: RNAcentral